GAUGAACGCUGGCGACGUGGAUAAGGCAUGCAAGUCGAAUGGGUUUAGACCCAUGGCGAACGAGGUAGUAACACGUAGGUAUCAACCCUCAAGUCAAGGAUAAUCUAUGGAAACGUAGGAUAAUACUUGAUAGUCCCUUCGGGGUAAAGAUUCAUCGCUUGAGGAUGAGCCUGCGGAGUAUCAGCUUGUUGGUAAGGUAAUGGCUUACCAAGGCUAUGACGCUUAGGGGAGGUGAGAGCCUGACCCCCACCGAUGGUACUGAGACACGGACCAUACACCUACGGGUGGCCGCAGUCGAGAAUCUUCCACAAUGGACGAAAGUCUGAUGGAGCGACGUCGCGUGAUCGAUGAAGUCUUUCGGGAUGUAAAGAUCUUUUAUAAGUGAAGAAAUUUUGACAUUAGCUUAUGAAUAAGGGGUUGCUAAACUCG
This 429-nucleotide ribosomal RNA is filed under the name uncultured bacterium. Its description in RNAcentral is "bacterial SSU rRNA". It matches the Rfam family "Bacterial small subunit ribosomal RNA", at positions 28 to 505 of the family's 1533-position model. The record is from RNAcentral.